Molecule: ribosomal RNA, 301 nt
Filed under: uncultured bacterium
Lineage: Bacteria
Description: partial 16S ribosomal RNA
Rfam family: Bacterial small subunit ribosomal RNA
Source: RNAcentral
CAGUAGCCGCGGUAAUACGUAGGCAGCGAGCGUUGUUCGGAAUUACUGGGCGUAAAGAGCGUGUAGGCGGUGCUCUAAGUUCGGUGUGAAAUCUCCCGGCUUAACUGGGAGGGUGCGCCGGAAACUGGAAUGCUCGAACGUGGGAGAGGAAAGCGGAAUUCCUGGUGUAGCGGUGAAAUGCGUAGAUAUCAGGAGGAACACCUGCGGUGUAGACGGCUUUCUGGACCAUUGUUGACGCUGAGACACGAAAGCGUGGGUAGCAAACAGGAUUAGAUACCCCUGUAGUCCCUGUCUCUUAUAC